Molecule: transfer RNA, 76 nt
Filed under: Candidatus Chisholmbacteria bacterium RIFCSPHIGHO2_01_FULL_48_12
Lineage: Bacteria; Candidatus Chisholmiibacteriota
Description: tRNA-Val
Rfam family: tRNA
About the family: Transfer RNA (tRNA) molecules are approximately 80 nucleotides in length. Their secondary structure includes four short double-helical elements and three loops (D, anti-codon, and T loops).
Source: RNAcentral
GGUCGCUUAGCUCAGUUGGCAGAGCGUUGCGUUUACAUCGCAAAGGCCGUAGGUUCGAGACCUACAGCGACCACCC